AGGAUCAUCAGGGCAUGGCCAAGGACUGUCCUGGUGGCGUGUAGGAGGAGUUUGGCCGGAAAUUGGCCACGUAGGGGUCGGAUUUUGGCUAUAAAUAGCCAAGGGUUUCGGCCGAAUUUGAAUCAUCAAAUCGCUCAAGUUUGAGAGCGAAUCGAGGGAAACCAAUAAGGAGCUUUUGAUCCUUGAGGGAAGGGGAUCAUUUCUGGAGAUUUUGGGAAUUUUUGGGGUAGUAUAGAGGGUGUUUUCGCAUAUAUAUACAUUCGGCCGUAUAUAUAUAUAUAUACAUUUUGCGUGAAAUACCAAAUCGGGUUGUAGAGUGAUCGAUCGAGCGAUCUAAUAAGGGGCUUUUGUUCACAAGGUGAUAGGUAACUGAUCUGGAAAGUUUCGUGCCAAUCGGAGUUCGAAUCGAGGGUCAAUUUGAUUCGCCGGAGUUCGGUGGCGGGAUAGCUUCGGCCGACUGUUUUUGGCCAAAUCGGAAGGCUUCCGGUGGUUUUUUCCGAGCAAUAUUGGUACCAUUGGGAUCAACUAAGGGAGAGGAACAGCCUGGUGUCGUCGCUUCAAUUUUCCGGUGUGCCGUCGCCGGAGAAGAUGAUCGGAGGGUUCCUUGAGGGUUGAGACGAAGUGACUCGUGCGAAGAUCAAAGAAGGCACGCAAAUCGAGGCAGGCACGCAAAUCGAGGUGUACCGAAAUAUCGCCAAAGGUGAAAGCAGUGGCGCCAAGGGAAAGAAUAUCAUCGAGAUGUAGCGGCUAUGUUUAGUUUUCGUAGGUUUUGUCCAUGAUUACGAUGUUCAGAGGUUAUGUAAUAUUUUGAUAUUUUUAUGUGAAACAUCGAUUUGGUUAUUGUAAAGGAAUUAUCGGUUAUAUAUCAUUGAGGUUUCGAUCUUGCUUCCGCUGAUGUGAUUGUUGAUACCUGUCUUAGUUUAUUAUUAAAUUUUAAUAUGCUAAGAAGGUACGAUCGGGAUUGACGGGAAAUGAUUAUGAUGAAGGUAUAUGUAUUGAGAGACUUAUGUUGUGUGUUUGAUGUUGGAAAAAAAAAAAAUAUUCUCGAAAUCUCGAGUUAACGCUCGUUAUGGGAAAAUGGGGCGUUACAUCCUCCCUCCUACACGCACUCUCUAUCUUGUUCUCUCUCUAUCGAUCUCUUUUCGAGAGAGAUUUUCCU
Molecule: long non-coding RNA, 1159 nt
Organism: Diospyros lotus (date-plum)
Lineage: Eukaryota; Viridiplantae; Streptophyta; Magnoliopsida; Ericales; Ebenaceae
Exons: 3
Source: RefSeq, a predicted model, not a curated record